This 72-nucleotide transfer RNA is filed under the name Bos taurus (domestic cattle). It matches the Rfam family "tRNA". Rfam says of the family: Transfer RNA (tRNA) molecules are approximately 80 nucleotides in length. Their secondary structure includes four short double-helical elements and three loops (D, anti-codon, and T loops). Lineage: Eukaryota; Metazoa; Chordata; Mammalia; Artiodactyla; Bovidae. The record is from Rfam by way of RNAcentral. RNAcentral also lists the same sequence under 3 other names.
UCCCUCGUGGUCCAGUGGUUAAGGCUCUGCCUUCCAAUGCAGGGGGUGCAGGUUCGAUCCUUGCUUGGGGAA